RNAcentral lists this ribosomal RNA (253 nucleotides) under uncultured bacterium. Its description in RNAcentral is "partial 16S ribosomal RNA". It matches the Rfam family "Bacterial small subunit ribosomal RNA", at positions 524 to 776 of the family's 1533-position model. The record is from RNAcentral.
UACGUAGGGGGCUAGCGUUGUCCGGAUUUAUUGGGCGUAAAGAGCGUGUAGGCGGCCAGGUAGGUCUGCUGUGAAAACUCGAGGCUCAACCUCGAGACGUCGGCGGAAACCAUCUGGCUAGAGUCCGGAAGAGGAGAGUGGAAUUCCUGGUGUAGCGGUGAAAUGCGCAGAUAUCAGGAAGAAGACCCGUGGCGAAGGCGGCUCUCUGGGACGGUACUGACGCUGAGACGCGAAAGCGUGGGGAGCGAACAGG